Molecule: RNA transcript, 2630 nt
Organism: Schistocerca americana (American grasshopper)
Lineage: Eukaryota; Metazoa; Arthropoda; Insecta; Orthoptera; Acrididae
Exons: 10
Source: RefSeq, a predicted model, not a curated record
AACACCAUUUGUUUUUGUUAUUCUUUGGUGUGCGUAGAGAGAUCUAACUGCCGCGAAAUGCAAAUGUGAGUUUAGGAAACUGUAACAUCCAAUUAAUGAGGGUUAAAGCUCGUAAGUUUCGUAUGGACUGUGUAAACUCGAAUUGAAAUCAAAAUGAUACGCAGCCCAUGAAUAAAUGGUAAUCCGUGGUUUUUGUUUAAACAGGAACAGCAAUGACUAUGAUCUCUUCACUUGCAAUACAUCAUCCACUUUUAACCAUACCUGAGGAAGACCAAUCAGCAUGCAGUGAAUGUUCUGUUCCAUCCGACUGUGAUUGUUUUACAGAUGCUCAAAAAUCAAAUGAGAAAAAAAUUACUUAUCAGAACAACAGUAAUAAUGUCAUAGGGGAAAACAAAAGACUUUUGUUGCCUGGUACUAGAAAGACAUUGUCAAACAGAAAAAAUAACAAGUAUGAUGAAACUAAAGAUAGUAUUUUUGCUUGGAGGUUAAUGACCAUUAGAGAAAAAUUAGAGGUUACCCUUUUAAAUGUAUAUCUGUCCAUAAGCAAUAUACCAGAACCAGAUGGACUGCAGGAUUUCAUAAGACGACGUCAAAGAGCAGCGGAGUUUACAUCAAGAUUCUGCAGAAAUUAUCUGUAUCAGUUUCAUCGCCAGGUGCUGGCUCUGCAACAUCGACUAAGGGAGAAGUCUUGCUGUGGUCUUCAUUAUAUUUAUAAAGCAUCAAUGUGCCAGAAACUUUUAAAUGCUUAUGAACUGGCACACCUGGCACUGCAGGCAGUUUUGAACCACAUCCCAACUUCAGUAUUAAUGUGCAUACCAAAGAAACUAAGGGAAUUUUUGAAAUUAAUUAUUGAACUUACUGAAAUUUCCUCAAAAUCAGGCGUGAUAUCUUGUGGAAGUGAAGACUCUGGUGAUGAGAUUGCAAAAUAUUGCAGAGAUUUAUUGAUGCUUAUACCUGACUCAAGUGAAAGUUUAAGCAUGCAGAAUGAAACUGAUAACAGAAUAUAUGAUAAAAAAACAUUUAGGAACUGUGGAAAAUUUCCUUUGGUGAGCAGAUUCUCUAUGUACAAUGAAAACUCAGCCAUGAAAAGAAAGUCCACAGUAAUGAGAUCUGUUUCAAGUACAAAGAAAUCAGAAGCUUCAGGAAGGGAAAGCAAAACUUCAUUGGAAAGUAAUCAGAGCAGUCACAAGAACAGCCAUUUAUCUCGAUUUAAUGAGACAUCAGUGACAAGACCAAAACCCACAAAAAAUUGUACACGGAAGAAGAAAGAGGAGCACAGCAAACUAGUAGGAAGAGUGUCAGAGAAGAAUCAUGUGCAUACUCCUUUCAAUAUGGACAAUGUCACAACAGUAAUUGAAACAAUAUCUUCAGCUAAAAGUGAGGAAAACUUCACAGAUGAGCAUAACCCAGGACUUAAUGAAAAUAUAACCAUAUCUUCAGAACAAAAUACAGAACCAAUAAGUAAUACUGCAACCACAAAUUGUCAAAAUAAACUCCAUAACAAAGUGGAAUUUCAGACAAGGAGUAAUGUGAAGCUGAUAAUUCUCCCUCCAUUUGAAGAAUCAGACAAAAUUUCUGGGGGAAGAACUGAAGGGUAUACACCCUCACAGGCAUCUAGGCAUACAGAAAAAGAGUUUGGGAAUAAUGUUUGCAAUGUUUUGAUUGAUUCAGGGCCUGUCCAAAAUAUUCAAGAUGAUCAGGUGAUGUUUCCAGUUGAGCAUACCCGUCAAUCUCCCAUGAAAGAUUAUUCACAGGAUGUCUCUUUGCCACUGCGAAGUUCAUUUGAACCUUUGCACUUGGAGAAAAUGGUAACAUAUACAAAAGGCUGUAACCAUACACACGAUACUGGACCUAAGCCUUUGAAAGAGACAUUCACUACAGAUGUUACUGAACUGGAAGGAAAGAAAUCUGUUAUGUUAGAUCCACCAGAUAACACAUUAAAUUUGGAGAAAAUGACAACGUACACAAAUGAAAAUGACUCUUAUUUGCUAGGACCAACUACUGUAUCAGGUCAAGGCUCCAGCCCCAAGCAUUUAAACAGUAUGUCCGAACCAGAGACUCAUGCAGAGCAUCAAGGAAAUGGGUCUGAGCCGUCAGACACAAUAAAUAAAAUUAAUACAGAGAUUACUCAAAAUGUAGUGUCACUGAAAAUACCUGCAGCAGAAUUAGAAUGUAUACUGGACCACAAAAGAAGAUUUAUGCAAUAUAUGAACAAUAAUCCUCUCUACAUGAAUUCAGCCAAACCUUGGGUAAUUGUGUCGAGGUUGGCAGAUACUUUGAUUUCUGAUGUAAUGCUUGAAAUUAUGAGUGAAAUUGAACUUGAAACUGAUAAAACGGUAACACAGAUGUUUCAUUUGGAACUCCAGUGAAGCACCCUUUGAUUGUCUGUAAGACCUGAAUUUCAAGGUUUUGUUCUGCCACAGCAUUGCAGUUUUAAUGUGAAUUGCAAUAAAACUAUUUUCAUGAUAAUAACAGUGAUAAUUGGAUGCCGUGAAGAACACUAGAUUGCAGACUCAGCUGUUAGAAAUAAAAUACGUAAACGAUUGGACACUGAUGAGAUGCGACGGUUGCGUCACCGAACCAAUCCCUUCCAACUAAACAGGCUGAAGAUGUCAAAGCUUUUUUGAUUU